Molecule: ribosomal RNA, 366 nt
Filed under: uncultured bacterium
Lineage: Bacteria
Description: partial 16S ribosomal RNA
Rfam family: Bacterial small subunit ribosomal RNA
Source: RNAcentral
CCUACGGGUGGCUGCAGUGAGGAAUAUUGGUCAAUGGGCGGAAGCCUGAACCAGCCAAGUAGCGUGCAGGAUGACGGCCCUACGGGUUGUAAACUGCUUUUAUACGGGAAUAACGCGCCUUACGUGUAGGGCUUUGCAUGUACCGUAUGAAUAAGGACCGGCUAAUUCCGUGCCAGCAGCCGCGGUAAUACGGAAGGUCCGGGCGUUAUCCGGAUUUAUUGGGUUUAAAGGGAGCGUAGGGCGUAUGUCAAGCGUGCUGUGAAAUGUCCGGGCGCAACCCGGGCCUUGCAGGGGGAACGGGCGGUAGUGAGUGCAGGGCAAGGAGGCGGAAUUCGGGGUGGAGGGGGGAAAUGGUGAGAGAUGACG